GAUGAACGCUGGCGGCGUGCUUAACACAUGCAAGUCGAACGGAACUGUUUGAAUGAAGUUUCGGAUGGAUUUUAAACAGUUUAGUGGCGGACGGGUGAGUAACGCGUGGGUAACCUGCCUCGCACUGGGGGAUAACAGUUAGAAAUAGCUGCUAAUACCGCAUAAGCGCACAGCUCCGCAUGGAGCAGUGUGAAAAACUCCGGUGGUGUGAGAUGGACCCGCGUCUGAUUAGCCAGUUGGCGGGGUAACGGCCCACCAAAGCGACGAUCAGUAGCCGGCCUGAGAGGGUGAACGGCCACAUUGGGACUGAGACACGGCCCAA
Molecule: ribosomal RNA, 322 nt
Filed under: uncultured bacterium
Lineage: Bacteria
Description: bacterial SSU rRNA
Rfam family: Bacterial small subunit ribosomal RNA
Source: RNAcentral